CUGGCCAUGACCUUGAGGGGCCUCCAGUUCUGCCCAUGAGGAGGAGGGUCACAGCCCUUAGAUCCAGCCAACCCAACAAGAACCUGUUCUCCUCCUCUAGGGACCCCAUGCUCCAGCCUCGCCUGCCUGACUUUUCCCCAACCAAGUGCUCACAGUCCUACCUCCCUUCCUUUGCUCAUGCUGUUCCCUUCUCCAGGUUGCCUUUCCCCAUCCCCUCAGCAUGCCAAACAGCAAGUGAGAGCUUUGUUCUCUACAACUUUUAGAGUCCAGAUACAUCUCUCCCCCUACUCCCACUAGGCUAUGAGACCCCAACAGAAGGCCCAACCCUGACCCAUCUCUAACCCCUCCAUCCCUCCCAUGGUCCAGCGGCCCCCGGACUCUCUCAGAGGCCCAAGGUCUUGGCCUUGGCUGGCCUCACAGCCACUUUCCACAGUGGGACCUGGAGGAAUCCAGACCCUUCCUGUUAGUCCCUUACCGUGGUCAGGCCUGAAGGGGGCCAGUCCAAUCCCCUCAUUUCACAGAUGCAGAAACUGAGGCCCAGGCCUCCCCAAUGCCCACACGGGAGGAAGGGAAAGAGGCAGACAGGCAGCUCUGGAGGAGCACCCCAGCUCCAAAGGUUUGACGGCGGGGAGAGACCCAUACAUCUCUUCCGGGGCCGCUAAGAACUCGUAGCGCGUGCGCGUUACGGUAAGUCCGCACGCACAGAUUCACCUGUGCGGUUCCUCCCAGCCUGCGAGGGCGGAGAUAGCACGAAGCAAGCCAUUCAUUGGAG
RNAcentral lists this long non-coding RNA (772 nucleotides) under Equus asinus (donkey). Its description in RNAcentral is "lncRNA (ENSEASG00005038522.1)". The record is from RNAcentral. Lineage: Eukaryota; Metazoa; Chordata; Mammalia; Perissodactyla; Equidae.